RNAcentral lists this transfer RNA (83 nucleotides) under Hypoxylon sp. FL1150. RNAcentral describes it as "tRNA-Asp". It matches the Rfam family "tRNA". From Rfam's summary of the family: Transfer RNA (tRNA) molecules are approximately 80 nucleotides in length. Their secondary structure includes four short double-helical elements and three loops (D, anti-codon, and T loops). The record is from RNAcentral. Lineage: Eukaryota; Fungi; Ascomycota; Sordariomycetes; Xylariales; Hypoxylaceae.
UCUCGAUUCGUCUAGUGGUUAGGAUACCUGCUUGUCAUUAGGACUGUCCGCAGGUGGCCGGGGUUCAAUUCCCCGAUCGAGAG